GAGUGGUCAGGCCAGGGCCUUGAUUCUUGGCAUAUCCAGCAAGAAUAUGCAUGGACAGGAGACUGAUGGCAGAUUGGCUUCCACAAAAGAUAUUGAAAAUAGCAUAUGGGCUCCCAUUAUUACCUUCAUGUGCCCCAAGAGUUGAAUCUACUCCAAUUUUUUAGGAAUAAGGAAACUAAGGAAGAAAGGAAUAAAAGCCAAAAUUAUAUUUCAUCAGCAGGACUUCCAUCCAUGAUCAUCACACCUACAGUGGUUCUGGAAAGAGAACUGCCACACCAGUUUCCCAGUCUUUGUGGUCAAGGUUGGAAAAGUCAAAGCCCAGUUUGGUGUUGGACAUGCUGGUGAGCCUCUUACAGAGGCCAUGGAUGAUGGUCUACAGCUUGGUAUCUCCCUUAUCAGAG
Molecule: long non-coding RNA, 401 nt
Filed under: Equus caballus (horse)
Lineage: Eukaryota; Metazoa; Chordata; Mammalia; Perissodactyla; Equidae
Description: lncRNA (ENSECAG00000058831.1)
Source: RNAcentral